This 597-nucleotide long non-coding RNA is filed under the name Nicotiana tabacum (common tobacco). RNAcentral describes it as "long non-coding RNA (NTAB_LNC012828)". The record is from RNAcentral. Lineage: Eukaryota; Viridiplantae; Streptophyta; Magnoliopsida; Solanales; Solanaceae.
GGGAUAAAUUGAAAACCAAUCCCCAGCAGGCUAGAGACCCCCAGCAGGCGAUUUUGCCCACCAACCAAUUAUGGGGACAUAGAGCAAGAAAAGGGGAAGAGAGGAAAAAUCAUCCGCCGGAAAGGCACCCUCUACCACCACGAUUAAAACUAACUAAAUCCUUUUGUCUGCUGCAGGAAAACAAAGGAUUGAUAAGGGCAGCAAAACGCAACGCCAGGGAAAUCACAAAAAACCGGGGCAGAAAAUUUUCUGCCAAUUGUCGAAAAUUUUCUCGGAAGAACGGGGAAACAAUUUCAAUACAUUUAAGUUCUAGGUCGCCCACCAGUAUAAUGCGGGAAUACUUUUAAGUUCUAGGUGCCCACCAGUAUAAUGCGGGAAUACAUUUAAGUUCUAGGUCACCCACCAGUAAAAUGCGGGAAUACUUUUCAGUUCUAGGUCUCCCACCAGUAAAAUGCGGGAAUACAUUUAAGUUCUAGGUCACCCACCAGUAUAAUGCGGGAAUACAUUUAAGUUCUAGGUCGCCCACCAGUAAAAUGCGGGAAUACUUUUAAGUUCUAGGUCACCCACCAGUAUAAUGCGGGAAUACAUUUAAGUUCU